This is a non-coding RNA of Archocentrus centrarchus (flier cichlid), 693 nucleotides long. The record is from the annotation of a RefSeq genome assembly. Lineage: Eukaryota; Metazoa; Chordata; Actinopteri; Cichliformes; Cichlidae.
GUCAAUAAUAAGUGCUGCUGUGAAGAGAACAAUUCUCAGACUGAAUGUUGAACAUCAGCUAGUUUCUCCUGCUGAUUUCAACCUUGUUGUACAGAUGGAACAUUGGCUGUGGAUUAUUCUUGCUGCUCUUUUCUUUGAGUGUAAAGGAGAAGACAAAGUGAUGCAGCCAGCAGGAGAUGUGACUGCUGCUGAAGGAGACACAGUUACACUUGGAUGUACCUUUCAGACCAGUUAUUCAGCUACACUAAUCUGGUACAAACAAGAAGCAAAUAGUUACCCAAAGUAUAUGCUGAAAUGUGUCUCAGAGUCAACAGUUAAAGCUGAUGAGUUCAACAAGGACAGAUUUGAUGCUAAAAUCAACAAGACAUCAGUUCCUCUGAAGAUCCAGAAGCUUCAGCUGUCUGACUCUGCUGUGUACUACUGUGCUCUGAGGCCCACAGUGACAGGAAACAGCAAAACUCUGUACAAAAACCUUUGGAGCAAAGACAACAGAAUACUCCACAACAUCCACUAGAGGGAGACACACACUGUUAAACCUCUGAUUCUUGUGUCAUUGGACUGAUGACAAAGACAACAGAGAAAUGAAGCAGUAAAGAUCAGAGACAGAGACAGAGCUGCUGUGGAAGCACAAAACUAUUUAAUUGGCUGAGAUGAUAGAUGAAGGUAAUUGGCCCGCCCACUGACCUUCUGUUC